Molecule: non-coding RNA, 2030 nt
Organism: Lactuca sativa (garden lettuce)
Lineage: Eukaryota; Viridiplantae; Streptophyta; Magnoliopsida; Asterales; Asteraceae
Source: RefSeq, a predicted model, not a curated record
GUAAAGAUUGUGAAAUUGUUGGAGUUAUUGUGAUGCAUUCACAGCUUGGUAUAGAUUUGUAUCUUAAAACGUCACUAGAAACUUGAAUUAUUGGAAGAAUAUUAUAUACGGCAUUGACUUAAUAUUUAAAUUGACAGAUUUGACUUUUCUGUGGUCAAGCUUUAAUUUGGAUUUUUUUUACGUUGUGUUAAAGUAAUGGUUGUAAGAUGAUCAUUUGUUGGGGUUUUAGCUAAAACAAGACAUAGAACUAAGUUAGAAGAAAGCUGAGUUGAGACUUGAGAUAGUGUUUAGGGACCUAAUUUUGUCAAUUCUGGGUUAAAUUGGGGAAUGGUGAUUAAAUUGAAUUAGAUAAUGUUGGUGUUUGGAUUAGAUUUUUAGCUUCUUGCUUAUAGCUUAUUUGUGGUGGGAAUAAGCAAUAAGCAAUAAGCAUGGGGAGGAAUGCUUAUUAAAAUUAGCUUAUUUAGCCUAAUAAGCUGGAUUUUAUCCAAACGCUUAAAUUAGCUUAUUGUGGGAAUAAGCAAUAAGCAGUUUUUUUUUUUUUUCCUAUCCAAACACCCCUAAUAAAAAUGAAAAUAUUAUAUCAAUUACCUAUAUACGAGAUCCUUCUUUAGACAGUAAGACUAUGCACGUCACCUGCUUGCCUGCUGCUUUCCUCAUCCAAUAAGAAGUCUGGCGGUCAUUCUUUAACUUAUGUGGAGUCGGUUUGCUUUCCUUCUCCACACCGCCUCAAUUAGUUGUGUCAAGCCGAGUCACUGUCUAUUUUCUCAUGUUUUUCCGUUUUCCCGCCACCUCCUACUUGGUUUUGCGCACCGACCACUGGGUUCAAUAAACGGCGUCGUUUGGCUAUUGAUGAAGGUCACCUAGACGUCACGAUGAGGUAGAAGACUUAGCGGUGGGUUUUCCUUCUUGGCGGCCACGUUCCCCCCAAAGCUGCAUACCUUUUGGAUCCCUUUUUACCGCCACCUCCCAUUGAUUGCUGCUGAGUCACCCUUUUGACUUCCUCUUCAUGCCGCUCCAUGUUUAUUCUGUAUUUAAGGGUUUUGUUGCUUCACGAUUGAUGUUGAAGAGGACGAAAGGGAAGGGCCUGAUGAAGAGACGAUUUAGCCUAAAGACCGUUACUAAUGACAAAUCGAUGACAUGGAACCUUAAAUUAAGGGAAAGAAGAGAUGGUUUGGGGUUCAAAUUUGGGAAUUUGAUUGUCAAUUUUUGUGGGAAACUUUGCUGUCAGUUUGUACUGAUUGAACAAAGUAUGUUCUUAUCUAACACUAAAUUUAUUAAUCAGAUUUCUAAUAUAUCUACAUGCCCUUCCAGAUCAUCUUUCUUGAUGUUUUUUUAUAAUCGUCAUACCCAGGGUAUUUGUAGUCUUGUCAUGGUUCUACUUAAUUAGGAUUUAGAGUAUACGUGUAAGACGCAUUUGUGAAUCAAGGUAAUGGUUUCAAUUUCGGUAUGUCCUUUAAAACCGGAGUUGUUCUUGAUCAAAAAAUAAGAUAUCUCAAUUACCCUUUAACAACAGUGUCAUCCAAAAAUAUACAGCAAUAGUAGAAUAUCAUUCCAUCUUAAUGUUUAAUGACUAUUGAGUAUUGAUUGCAUGUCUAUCAUCCGAAUAUAAACGUCAAUGAUGUGCUAGAAAUUGAAAAUUUAUAAUGACUAACAAUUCUUGGAGGCUCUUGAAACCUUUUUAAUUGUGUGGUUUGAAAGUUUCCAUUGUGAUUACUUUGUUAUCUCAAGUUUAGUGUGCUAGAAUAUGGAGAUUUGGCAGGAGACAUGUUUCUGAACCUUUGGAUACCACUCGAUAAAUUUGUCGAGGAUGAAAAUGUACUUGCAGGGAUUAUUUCAUUAAAUCCUUUUGCGGAAUUGAGAAACCUAGAUUGCAAGUCAACCUCAGACCCUGUGGACUCAUCAAACACUUUCACCACUCCAUUCCGAAACAAAAUACUUCUAUGGAGGUGAAAACAUUGCAAAUAGGCAUCUGGCGAAUGUCAAAGAUUUGGUCAUAGCUUCAAGAAUGCGAAAUCCAUUUUAAUUGGAAA